CGGAGGAUCAUUAGAAGAACGAGGUCGAGGGCAUCCAUUGGGCUCACGUGAGCCUGUAUUGGAUAGUGCCCGACCCCCGCUCUUUACCUUGCCUACUGCACUACUUGUUGCUUCCUGGCGUCGGUAUUCCGGCGCCAGGAGCCCUGUUAUAAACCCCUGUAUAAGCAUUGAAGUCCUGAAACGAAACUAAAUCAUACAACUUUCAACAAUGGAUCUCUUGGUUCUGGCAUCGAUGAAGAACGCAGCGAAAUGCGAUAAGUAGUGUGAAUUGCAGAAUUCAGUGAAUCAUCGAAUCUUUGAACGCACAUUGCGCCCCUUGGUAUUCCAUGGGGCAUGCCUGUUCGAGCGUCAUCUGAACCCUCAAGCCCCUUGGCUUGGUGUUGGGUGUCUGUCCACCGCWCCUUGCGUGGACUCACCCUAAAUGCAUUGGCAGCGUCCUCUCAGCUUCUCUCGUAGUACAUUGCGUGGCGAGGCGUAGCGAGGCGCGUCCAGCAAGUCACCCUCCAAGUUUGACCUCGGAUCAGGUAGGGAUACCCG
This 537-nucleotide ribosomal RNA is filed under the name Poaceascoma taiwanense. RNAcentral describes it as "eukaryotic LSU rRNA". The record is from RNAcentral. Lineage: Eukaryota; Fungi; Ascomycota; Dothideomycetes; Pleosporales; Lentitheciaceae.